This is a non-coding RNA of Camelina sativa (false flax), 159 nucleotides long. Lineage: Eukaryota; Viridiplantae; Streptophyta; Magnoliopsida; Brassicales; Brassicaceae. The record is from RefSeq and is a predicted model, not a curated record.
GAAUGAAACAACGGUUACAGGUGUGGAAGCCGGCAAAAAGGCAGCAGCAGAAGUUCUGGCUCUGCAAAAGCGGGUGUUGUCAGUUCUUAAUGAAGCCACGUGUAAAGAUCCGGUAGAGCCAUUGACAUUGGAAGAGAUAGCUGAUCGUUGCCAUGCUCC